RNAcentral lists this ribosomal RNA (253 nucleotides) under uncultured bacterium. RNAcentral describes it as "partial 16S ribosomal RNA". It matches the Rfam family "Bacterial small subunit ribosomal RNA", at positions 524 to 776 of the family's 1533-position model. The record is from RNAcentral.
UACAGAGGCCUCGAGCGUUAGUCGGAAUCACUGGGCUUAAAGCGUGUGUAGGCGGAUUGGUAAGUACCUUGUGAAAUCCCACAGCUUAACUGUGGAACUGCUCGGUAUACUGCUGAUCUUGAGCCACUCAGGGGCUACCGGAACAAAUGGUGGAGCGGUGAAAUGCGUAGAUAUCAUUUGGAACGCCAAUGGUGAAAACAGGUAGCUGGGGGUGUGCUGACGCUGAGACACGAAAGCCAGGGGAGCAAACGGG